RNAcentral lists this ribosomal RNA (584 nucleotides) under uncultured bacterium. Its description in RNAcentral is "bacterial SSU rRNA". It matches the Rfam family "Bacterial small subunit ribosomal RNA", at positions 90 to 653 of the family's 1533-position model. The record is from RNAcentral.
GUAGAGUGGCGCACGGGUGAGUAACACGUAGGUAAUCUACCUUCGGAUGGGGAAUAACAACCGGAAACGGUUGCUAUUACCGCAUAAUGCAGCGGCACCUAAUGGUGACAGUUGUUAAAGCGGGGGAUCGAAAGACCCCGCGUCUGAAGAGGAGCCUGCGGCGGAUUAGCUAGUUGGUAAGGUAAUGGCUUACCAAGGCAACGAUCCGUAACCGGCCUGAGAGGGCGGUCGGUCACACUGACACUGUCAUACGGGUCAGACUCCUACGGGAGGCAGCAGUCGGGAAUUUUGGGCAAUGGGCGAAAGCCUGACCCAGCAACGCCGCGUGAAGGAUGAAAUCCCUCGGGAUGUAAACUUCGCAAGAACGGGAAGAAUAAGUAGGGGACAACACCCCCUAUGAUGACGGUACCGUUUGUAAGCUCCGGCUAACUCCGUGCCAGCAGCCGCGGUAAUACGGGGGGAGCAAGCGUUGUUCGGAUUUACUGGGCGUAAAGGGCGCGUACGCGGCCUCCGCAAGUCAGUUGUGAAAUCUCCGAGCUUAACUCGGAAAAGUCAACUGAUACUGCGGGGGCUAGAGUGCGGAA